GAGUUUGACAUGCUUGCUAAAUACCUUGUAUAAGAUCCUGUACCCUGUAUAAUGCAAUGUAUACACUGUAUAACACACCCUGUAUCCUGUUUAACACUGUAUUCUUUGAAUAACAGCCCGUAUCCUGUAUAAGACACAUUAUACCCUGUAUAACACACUAUGUAUCCUACAAAACAAUGACAAUUUCAAAACCCGCUAAAUCACCCAUAUUAGUGAUAUAUUUAGA
Pelobates cultripes (western spadefoot toad) is the source of this 226-nucleotide non-coding RNA. The record is from the annotation of a GenBank genome assembly. Lineage: Eukaryota; Metazoa; Chordata; Amphibia; Anura; Pelobatidae.